CUUUCCUGUGUCGGGUCUGCAGGCCACAUCGGUUUGUUUCGAGUGUGGCAGGCGCCAUGGCAGACUUCAAGAGACCAGGUCCUCCACAUUGUGGCCAUCCAUUCAGCGAUGACCUUUCUACCCUAUACCAUAUUCAUUGCUGGUGUUCAGCAAUCCCCCAUGAAGGGAGUUUAUCAGAGUGUUCGCCCUGCUUCGGCACAAGUAAACUCUGAUGAGGAUUGGUGAUGUCUCUGGGUUUGUUAUAGUGUUUGUCUCUCGAACAGUGGAUGCAGUGGCACACUUCCAGGUGGACUCAUUGGGGCAGUAGAGUAUGUGACACUCUUGUAGACAGUCACAUGAAUGGGUCCUACACCAUGCUCUCUACUCAUUCCAGGGACGUCUGGGAUGGGACGAAGCUGCGUUUUUUA
This 407-nucleotide non-coding RNA is filed under the name Picochlorum costavermella. Lineage: Eukaryota; Viridiplantae; Chlorophyta; Trebouxiophyceae. The record is from RNAcentral.